Molecule: ribosomal RNA, 253 nt
Filed under: uncultured bacterium
Lineage: Bacteria
Description: partial 16S ribosomal RNA
Rfam family: Bacterial small subunit ribosomal RNA
Source: RNAcentral
GACGGAGGAUGCAAGUGUUAUCCGGAAUCACUGGGCGUAAAGCGUCUGUAGGUCGUUCAAUAAGUCAACUGUUAAAUCUUGAGGCUCAACUUCAAAAUCGCAGUCGAAACUAUUAAACUAGAGUAUAGUAGGGGUAAAGGGAAUUUCCAGUGGAGCGGUGAAAUGCGUAGAUAUCGGGAGGAACACCAGUGGUGAAGGCGACUACCUGGCCUGUUCUUGACGCUGAGGCGCGAAAGCUAGGGGAGCAAACGGG